UACAGAGGGUGCAAGCGUUAAUCGGAAUUACUGGGCGUAAAGCGCGCGUAGGUGGUUCGUUAAGUUGGAUGUGAAAUCCCCGGGCUCAACCUGGGAACUGCAUUCAAAACUGACGAGCUAGAGUAUGGUAGAGGGUGGUGGAAUUUCCUGUGUAGCGGUGAAAUGCGUAGAUAUAGGAAGGAACACCAGUGGCGAAGGCGACCACCUGGACUGAUACUGACACUGAGGUGCGAAAGCGUGGGGAGCAAACAGG
RNAcentral lists this ribosomal RNA (253 nucleotides) under Pseudomonas sp. RNAcentral describes it as "partial 16S ribosomal RNA". It matches the Rfam family "Bacterial small subunit ribosomal RNA", at positions 524 to 776 of the family's 1533-position model. RNAcentral also lists the same sequence under 3 other names. The record is from RNAcentral. Lineage: Bacteria; Pseudomonadati; Pseudomonadota; Gammaproteobacteria; Pseudomonadales; Pseudomonadaceae.